RNAcentral lists this ribosomal RNA (406 nucleotides) under uncultured bacterium. RNAcentral's name for it is "partial 16S ribosomal RNA". It matches the Rfam family "Bacterial small subunit ribosomal RNA", at positions 30 to 526 of the family's 1533-position model. The record is from RNAcentral.
AUUGAACGCUGGCGGCCGGCCUAACACAUGCAAGUCGAACGAGUGGCGGACGGGUGAGUAAUGUCUGGGAGACUGCCUGAUGUCGGGGGAUAACGACUGGAAGCGGUAGCUCAUACCGCAUACCCUCUGAUGUUCCCAGGUGGGAUUAACUAGUAGGUGGGGGAAAGGCUCACCUCGGCGACGAUCCCUAGAUGGUGUGAGAGGAUGACCAGCCACACUGGAAAGGGGACACGGUCCAGACUCCUACGGGAGGCAGCAGUGGGGAAUAUUGCACCAUGGGCGCAAGCCUGAUGCAGCCAUUCCGCGUGUAUGAAGAAGGCCUUCGGGUUGUAAAGUACUUUCAGCGGGGAGGCGUUACCCGCAGAAGAAGCACCGGCUAACUCCGUGCUAGCAGCCGCGGUAAUAC